This 73-nucleotide transfer RNA is filed under the name Cyclopsetta fimbriata (spotfin flounder). Its description in RNAcentral is "tRNA-Gln". It matches the Rfam family "tRNA". From Rfam's summary of the family: Transfer RNA (tRNA) molecules are approximately 80 nucleotides in length. Their secondary structure includes four short double-helical elements and three loops (D, anti-codon, and T loops). The record is from RNAcentral. Lineage: Eukaryota; Metazoa; Chordata; Actinopteri; Pleuronectiformes; Cyclopsettidae.
UAGAGAGUGGUGUAAUAUGGAAGCACUAAGAGUUUUGAUCUCUUCAGAUUGGGUUCAAAUCCCUUCUCUCUAA